Molecule: ribosomal RNA, 695 nt
Filed under: Pseudomonadota bacterium
Lineage: Bacteria; Pseudomonadati; Pseudomonadota
Description: bacterial SSU rRNA
Rfam family: Bacterial small subunit ribosomal RNA
Source: RNAcentral
AACGCUGGCGGAAUGCUUUACACAUGCAAGUCGAACGGCAGCACGGGGGCAACCCUGGUGGCGAGUGGCGAACGGGUGAGUAAUAUAUCGGAACGUGCCCAGUCGUGGGGGAUAACGUAGCGAAAGUUACGCUAAUACCGCAUACGAUCUACGGAUGAAAGCGGGGGAUCGCAAGACCUCGCGCGAUUGGAGCGGCCGAUAUCAGAUUAGGUAGUUGGUGGGGUAAAGGCUCACCAAGCCAACGAUCUGUAGCUGGUCUGAGAGGACGACCAGCCACACUGGGACUGAGACACGGCCCAGACUCCUACGGGAGGCAGCAGUGGGGAAUUUUGGACAAUGGACGCAAGUCUGAUCCAGCCAUUCCGCGUGCAGGACGAAGGCCUUCGGGUUGUAAACUGCUUUUGUACGGAACGAAAAAGCUCUUACUAAUACUAGGAGUCCAUGACGGUACCGUAAGAAUAAGCACCGGCUAACUACGUGCCAGCAGCCGCGGUAAUACGUAGGGUGCGAGCGUUAAUCGGAAUUACUGGGCGUAAAGCGUGCGCAGGCGGUUAUAUAAGACAGAUGUGAAAUCCCCGGGCUCAACCUGGGAACUGCAUUUGUGACUGUAUAGCUAGAGUGCGGCAGAGGGGGAUGGAAUUCCGCGUGUAGCAGUGAAAUGCGUAGAUAUGCGGAGGAACACCGAUGGCGAAGGC